GCUUCGGGCGCCGGUCGCUCGCGUGUCGCUUCGGCGGCGGCGCGGGAGGAAAGUCCGGACUCCGCAGGGCAGGGCGUCCGCGUUGGUGACGAUGCGGAAUCCCUUUGGCAAACGAAGGGAAAGGAAAGUGCCACAGAAACCAAACCGCCCGGUUCGCUUCGGCGGGCCGGGCAAGGGUGAAACGGCGGUGUAAGAGACCACCGUGCGGGAUUGAGAGGUUCCGCGCAAGGCAAACCCCACCCGGAGCAAGAUCAAAUAGGGAAUCGCAGGGGCGGCCCGUCCCGAUGCGCGGUGACGCGCGGCGAUUCCGGGUUGAUCGCCUAGACAAAUGACCGGGCCCGCGCGAGCGGGCGACAGAAUCCGGCUUAUUCGCCCGGAGUUCCG
This 384-nucleotide RNase P RNA is filed under the name Lentisphaerota bacterium. Its description in RNAcentral is "Lentisphaerae bacterium (anaerobic digester metagenome) RNase P RNA component class A". It matches the Rfam family "Bacterial RNase P class A". Rfam says of the family: Ribonuclease P (RNase P) is a ubiquitous endoribonuclease, found in archaea, bacteria and eukarya as well as chloroplasts and mitochondria. Its best characterised activity is the generation of mature 5'-ends of tRNAs by cleaving the 5'-leader elements of precursor-tRNAs. The record is from RNAcentral. RNAcentral also lists the same sequence under 1 other name. Lineage: Bacteria; Pseudomonadati; Lentisphaerota.